RNAcentral lists this non-coding RNA (108 nucleotides) under Neomoorella glycerini. Its description in RNAcentral is "Moorella glycerini SAM-I sequence". It matches the Rfam family "SAM riboswitch aptamer (S box leader)". From Rfam's summary of the family: The SAM riboswitch is found upstream of a number of genes which code for proteins involved in methionine or cysteine biosynthesis in Gram-positive bacteria. The SAM riboswitch acts at the level of transcription termination control. The predicted structure consists of a complex stem-loop region followed by a single stem loop terminator region. Lineage: Bacteria; Bacillati; Bacillota; Clostridia; Neomoorellales; Neomoorellaceae. The record is from RNAcentral.
CUCUUAUCAAGAGCUGGCGGAGGGACUGGCCCGAUGAAGCCCGGCAACCGGCCUGUGGGAACCCAGGUACGGUGCCAAUUCCUGCAGGAUUUUCCUGGCAGAUGAGAG